RNAcentral lists this long non-coding RNA (2471 nucleotides) under Eucalyptus grandis. RNAcentral's name for it is "long non-coding RNA (EGRA_LNC002346)". The record is from RNAcentral. Lineage: Eukaryota; Viridiplantae; Streptophyta; Magnoliopsida; Myrtales; Myrtaceae.
UUUAAAUAAGUGACAAAGUUUUGUGCUGUCAUCUUGUGGGCAAAUACACGAGAUUCAAGUUGUCGAACAAUGGAAUCGUGGGAAAACUUCGAGGUUUGGGAUUGUCGUAAACUGCGAAGUCUUCAUUGUUUACAAAAUAUAAAAAAUCUCAAGUCCUUUUCCAUCAAAUCAUGAAAUUGUCUUAGGAAUGUCGAGGGCCUUGACGAGCUGGAGUUUUUGGAUUACCUACUAGUUGCGGCCUGUGGAUCGUUAGAUUGGUUGAUUGGUGAUGUAUCAAGCGCCAAAUUUCUAAAUGAUCGCCACAUAUUUAUCUUCGGUUGCAGGGAAAGACUUUCGGGGGUUCCGCUAGUCUUUACAAGCACCAAAAGGUGAGUCUUACUGAACAUUCUCUCUCGCGUAGUUAACAUUGAUUGGGUGUUUCAGUUUACUUAUUGUUAUCGGACCAAUAAAGAUGUGAUUGGCAAAUAACGAUGUAUUCCAAUCGAUCUCACUAGUUUUGACACCAAUCUAAAAUUCGGCACACUUGCAAGUUUCAUUUUCCCAAUUGUGUUUUCUGACUUUCCUUUUCUCGUUUUCUACUCCUUUUUCCCCUUAUUUUUCUAUUCCUUUCCGUCCAUGAGUUAGAUAAGCUAGGGAACAAGGUCAGAUGGAAACAAAAUAAGUGGAAGAACUUCAUUAUGCAGAAGAAAUGUCAUCGUUUAGUUUCUUAUAAUUUUUUUUUAAAAAAAUGCCUUAUACGUUUCACACGUCUUUUUAAAUGGGGUGUGAAUUGUUCAGAUAAAUUUGUAUCUUUACUUAAAAUAAUAUCGAUUUCUUACUUAUACUUUGGAGAUAAGGUUGGUACUUUGCAAUUUUCAUACAUAAGACAGGAAGCUAAAUGAAUCACAUAUUUGUUUCAUGUGUCGUAGACACUUUGCUCAUUGUAUGCAAAGAACGCAUUCUUAGAGCAUAAUUCACGUGGUCAACCAAUUUAACUCCGGUGGAGUCGAGUUAUUUACUUAGGAUGAUUCUGCGAUGUUAACUGCCAAGUCACUUGUGCUCGAUCAUGUAUGAUGUACAUGUAGACUUACUAAUUGAAUCAACAAGUAACAUAGAGCAGGUCUCAAGGUUCUUAUCUUCAGAACUUUGACUAGAUAAGAGUGAGUCCGAGCCAUACUCUCUCCUUUUCUUUACAGUUUUCUUGACGCAAACAUCCACAAACAUGAAUUCAACUUUUAAGCGGAUUUGCAAAUAAUUGUAGUAAAUCCAAAAUCAAUCAAACAAACAUGAAUUAAAUUUGAUCUCACUUAAUUUAAAACCCACUCAACGCAAGUGUCUUUUAUUCUCAGCUCGUGUAAUCUCAUUUUCUUUUCCUUUUUUCAGUUCUUCUUUUCUUUUAAUGUAUUAAGAAAGCUCCAUUUGUGCAGCAAGUCUAAAGGACAAGGUCAGUUUUUAUGACAAAUGACUGGAGAAACUUCAAUGUCUAGAGGAAACAUAUAGAAUAGCCCAAAGUCUCUCAAUCAAAUUUUCUUUUCAUUUUAUGUGGAGCAAAUUGUAUAGUUUAGCGUAAUUUUUAUGUAAUAGACUCCACUUUAUUGUGCAUUUCUUACUUAAAAUCAUUAACUAUGGAGAUGAGUUUGGUGAUUUGCGAUUUUUACAAUGAACUCUAAAAGAAUUAGAUACUCAUUGCACCACUCAAAACAGCUUUGCUACCGGAGUUGUUUCAAGAAGACAACUUACAUAGUCCACCCAUCUACUGUUCCAGUGACCUAUGUCCUUGAUGGAAUUGGGUGCUCCUCGAAUUUUUGCAUGUGGUUGGGGCCAGCCAAGUAGGAUGUGCGUUCCAAUAGCACCUCAAAUACUUAUUUUAGAUUGUACAGUUUGAUUAAAGGCCACUUUACACAGGAACAGGAAAGCGACUUCAAAGAGGAACAGGAAUCGAAUCAGAGGAGAGGCUGGGGAGAGUGUCAUUCCAUCGCCCGAGCUUCAAUAGUUUUCUCCACUGCGUCCUCCCCGUUUUUUUUCCGUUUGAUUAUAAGUGACUUCAAAUAGGAAUCAAAGCAGAGGAGAGGGCUGAGGAGGGUGUCGUUCCAGUGCCUGAGCUUCAACAUAAUGUGAUGUUGGUUGUGGUAAAGAUGGCAAUCUAGAACUGGAGAGGACUUUCGCCAUCAAGUCAGAACGACAGUUGGCAGAAAGCAGAGCUGGAGCGUAUCAGAAGCACUCGAAUAGCUAUCACCGUUGGCCGGGAAUAAAGGCCACCUUGUCCGUAAUGUAUUCGUAACCUAUUGUUUUGCCUACAGGGCAUUUGUUUCGUUAAUUAGUAUUUGCUUUUGAGUUCUGCUUUGGGUUUCAACCAAUAUGCACUUGAAGAAUGUGGCCCGUUCAUCAAUUUUCAGAUGACUUCAUAGAUGAUUUGAAACUCUGGAGCUUAAUCAAGGCGUGUCAUGUUUUUUAUUAUUCUAAUUAACAGAUAUGUGAUUGUGCAUCUUAUG